This 484-nucleotide ribosomal RNA is filed under the name uncultured bacterium. RNAcentral's name for it is "partial 16S ribosomal RNA". It matches the Rfam family "Bacterial small subunit ribosomal RNA", at positions 29 to 507 of the family's 1533-position model. The record is from RNAcentral.
AACGAACGCUGGCGGCAUGCCUAACACAUGCAAGUCGAGCGAAGGACGGGAGCUUGCUCUUGGACUCAGCGGCGAACGGGUGAGUAAUGCCUAGGAAUCUGCCUGGGAGUGGGGGAACAACUCCGGAAACCGGCGGUUAAUACGAGUCCGGCUUGCGGGAGUUCGAGGGGGAGCGUCGGUCCUGAUGCCAACUGCGGAUCCUAGGUCGAAUUAGCUAGUUGGUGGGGUAAAGGCCGACCAAGGCGACGAUGCGUAACUGGUCUGAGAGGAUGAUCAGUCACACUGGAACUGAGACACGGCCCAGACUCCUACGGGAGGCAGCAGUGGGGAAUCUUGGGCAAUGGGCGAAAGCGUGAUCCAGCAAUGCCGCGUGUGUGAAGAAGGACUUCGGAUUGUAAAGCACUUUAAGUAGGGAGGAAGGUCAGUCGGUUAAUACCUGGCUGUAUUGACGGUACCGCCAGAAUAAGCCCCGGCUAACUACGUG